RNAcentral lists this ribosomal RNA (287 nucleotides) under Escherichia coli. RNAcentral describes it as "partial 23S ribosomal RNA". It matches the Rfam family "Bacterial large subunit ribosomal RNA", at positions 1273 to 1563 of the family's 2925-position model. The record is from RNAcentral. Lineage: Bacteria; Pseudomonadati; Pseudomonadota; Gammaproteobacteria; Enterobacterales; Enterobacteriaceae.
CUGGAGGUAUCAGAAGUGCGAAUGCUGACAUAAGUAACGAUAAAGCGGGUGAAAAGCCCGCUCGCCGGAAGACCAAGGGUUCCUGUCCAACGUUAAUCGGGGCAGGGUGAGUCGACCCCUAAGGCGAGGCCGAAAGGCGUAGUCGAUGGGAAACAGGUUAAUAUUCCUGUACUUGGUGUUACUGCGAAGGGGGGACGGAGAAGGCUAUGUUGGCCGGGCGACGGUUGUCCCGGUUUAAGCGUGUAGGCUGGUUUUCCAGGCAAAUCCGGAAAAUCAAGGCUGAGGCG